Molecule: transfer RNA, 86 nt
Filed under: Pseudomonas phage psageK4
Lineage: Duplodnaviria; Heunggongvirae; Uroviricota; Caudoviricetes; Vandenendeviridae
Also listed under: 1 other name
Description: tRNA-Asn
Rfam family: tRNA
About the family: Transfer RNA (tRNA) molecules are approximately 80 nucleotides in length. Their secondary structure includes four short double-helical elements and three loops (D, anti-codon, and T loops).
Source: RNAcentral
UCCGUGUGUAGGGGAACUGGUAGACCCACCUGACUGUUAAUCAGGCGCUAACGCAACUGUAGGUUCGAAGCCUACCACCGGAGCCA